Molecule: ribosomal RNA, 1539 nt
Filed under: metagenome
Description: bacterial LSU rRNA
Rfam family: Bacterial large subunit ribosomal RNA
Source: RNAcentral
CCCUUCGGGACUAGGGGUGAGGCUGAACGCUCGAUCCGAUCGGGUAGUAGGUAAGCGAUGGGGUGACGCAGGAAGGUAGUCCAGCCCAGGCGAUGGUUGUCCUGGGGUAAGCAUGUAGGGCGGAACGUAGGUAAAUCCGCGUUCUAUUCAGCCUGAGAUGUGAUGCCGAGCCGAUUGUGGUGAAGUGGAUGAUCCUAUGCUGCCGAGAAAAGCCUCUAGUGAGUGUUGUGGCGGCCCGUACCCUAAACCGACUCAGGUGGUCAGGUAGAGAAUACCAAGGCGAUCGGGUGAACUGUGGUUAAGGAACUCGGCAAAUUGCCCCCGUAACUUCGGGAGAAGGGGGACCUCUGCUGGUGAUGGGCUUUACGUUCUGAGCUGGUGGGGGUCGCAGUGGCCAGGGGGAAGCGACUGUUUACUAAAAACACAGGUCCGUGCGAAGUCGUAAGACGAUGUAUACGGACUGACGCCUGCCCGGUGCCGGAACGUUAAGGGGACCGCUUAGCCAGCUUCGGUUGGCGAAGGUGAGAACUUAAGCGCCGGUAAACGGCGGUGGUAACUAUAACCAUCCUAAGGUAGCGAAAUUCCUUGUCGGGUAAGUUCCGACCUGCACGAAUGGCGUAACGACUUCCCCGCUGUCUCAACCACAGACCCGGCGAAAUUGCACUACGAGUAAAGAUGCUCGUUUCGCGCAGCAGGACGGAAAGACCCCGGGACCUUCACUACAGCUUGACAUUGGCGUUUGGAACGUCUUGUGUAGGAUAGGUGGGAGACUGGGAAGCUGUCACGCUAGUGAUGGUGGAGUCAUUGGUGAAAUACCACUCUGGUCGUUUUGAACGUCUAACUCUGGUCCGUGAUCCGGAUCGGGGACAGUGUCUGGUGGGUAGUUUAACUGGGGCGGUUGCCUCCUAAAGAGUAACGGAGGCGCCCAAAGGUUCCCUCAGCCUGGUUGGCAAUCAGGUGUUGAGUGUAAGUGCACAAGGGAGCUUGACUGUGAGACUGACAGGUCGAGCAGGGGCGAAAGCUGGGACUAGUGAUCCGGCAUCGGCGUGUGGAAGCGGUGUCGCUCAACGGCUAAAAGGUACCCCGGGGAUAACAGGCUGAUCUUCCCCAAGAGUCCAUAUCGACGGGAUGGUUUGGCACCUCGAUGUCGGCUCGUCGCAUCCUGGGGCUGGAGUAGGUCCCAAGGGUUGGGCUGUUCGCCCAUUAAAGCGGUACGCGAGCUGGGUUUAGAACGUCGCGAGACAGUUCGGUCCCUAUCCGCUGCGCGCGCAGGAGACUUGAAGGGGGCUGUCCCUAGUACGAGAGGACCGGGACGGACGAACCUCUGGUGUGCCAGUUGUACCGCCAGGUGCACGGCUGGUUGGCUACGUUCGGAAGGGAUAACCGCUGAAAGCAUCUAAGCGGGAAGCUCGCCUUGAGAUGAGGUCUCCCACCCUGUGAGGGGGUAAGGCUCCCGGUAGAUCACCGGGUUGAUAGGCCGGAGGUGGAAGCACGGUAACGUGUGGAGCUGACCGGUACUAAUAGGCCGAGGACUUGACC